Molecule: ribosomal RNA, 496 nt
Filed under: uncultured bacterium
Lineage: Bacteria
Description: partial 16S ribosomal RNA
Rfam family: Bacterial small subunit ribosomal RNA
Source: RNAcentral
AUGAACGCUGGCGGCGUGCCUAAUACAUGCAAGUCGAGCGAACAGACGAGGAGCUUGCUCCUCUGACGUUAGCGGCGGACGGGUGAGUAACACGUGGAUAACCUACCUAUAAGACUGGGAUAACUUCGGGAAACCGGAGCUAAUACCGGAUAAUAUAUUGAACCGCAUGGUUCAAUAGUGAAAGACGGUUUUGCCGUCACUUAUAGAUGGAUCCGCGCCGCAUUAGCUAGUUGGUAAGGUAACGGCUUACCAAGGCAACGAUGCGUAGCCGACCUGAGAGGGUGAUCGGCCACACUGGAACUGAGACACGGUCCAGACUCCUACGGGAGGCAGCAGUAGGGAAUCUUCCGCAAUGGGCGAAAGCUUGACGGAGCAACGCCGCGUGAGCGAUGAAGGUCUUCGGAUCGUAAAACUCUGUUAUUAGGGAAGAACAAAUGUGUAAGUAACUAUGCACGUCUUGACGGUACCUAAUCAGAAAGCCACGGCUAACUACGUG